CCUGACAUCAUGAUAAAGAUACCACUGUUGUACUAAUCUUCAUAAAAAUAUCUAGUGCUGGGCGAUAUGACGAUAUAUAUCGUGUGGACGAUAGAAAAGUGUCUAUCAUGCCAUUUGUCUUCUACCGUUUCUAACCUAAUUUUAUAAAUUAUUACAUAAAAUAUAUCAUUAAACAGCCUGUGGCAGAUAUAUUAGUGUUGUCUUCUCACUAUACAUACUCUUAACUUUAUGCAAGAGAAAAUAAAGUUUAAAAAAAGAUAUUUUUUGCAAAGAAACUCCGUCUUGUGGUUUUGCGACAUGGUGCUGCUUUAUGUGCAUGCUUUACGGUAACUCAAAACGAUGGACGUGCGACAGGUUGCAGUUUCAUGCCUGGACAUGCAACAGGAAGAGACAGCUACACAGGCAGCCCAAGAAGAAGCACUUUUACCGAAAAAAGAGGGGGUACGUCUGUGAUUUGGUUACAUUUUGGGUUCAACAGCACCAACACGUAGCAGAAGACGCCCAUUUGACAACAAUUCUGAUGGCUAAAGAUCCAAACGGGACACAAAAAAAAAGAAAAAAGAAAAUGUGGUAUCGAGGCCGAUAAAAAAAAAAAAAAAAAAAAAAGAAGACGCCCAUUUGCAAGCUAUGCUAUAAAACUAUUCCUGCACCCAAUGGCAGCACAACAAAUCUCUUCUAUCACCUACAGAAGGUCCACGAAGAAGAAAACUCAAGAAUCCAGAAAAUCCGAGCUAAACCAAGUUGUGGAACGAUGGGAGCAAGUUGGGAAAAGAAAAACUAUAGCCAGCUGAAGAUACAGCAGUCUUUCGCACAAGAUACGCCGUAUGAGAAAACGUUCCAGCGCCAUAAACAAAUCACAGGAGCCAUCUCGCGUUACAUUUGUAAAGGCAUGGUUCCUGUUUAUGUAGUUGAGAAGGACAGCUUUCGUGACCUCAUCAAAGUCUUUGAUCCGUGGUACGUUAUGCCCGGUCGUAAGCACUUCAGUAAAGUUGAGUUGCCACGCUUAUAUGAUGCAUGCCGGGCCAAAGUAGAGAAGGAUGUUUGCAGUGUCGUGCAUUAUGCCUUGAUGACUGACCUAUGGACGAGCAGAGAUACACAGCCCUACAUGAGCGUAACCAUCCCUUUCAUUAAC
Astatotilapia calliptera (eastern happy) is the source of this 1132-nucleotide long non-coding RNA. The record is from Ensembl. Lineage: Eukaryota; Metazoa; Chordata; Actinopteri; Cichliformes; Cichlidae.